This 798-nucleotide ribosomal RNA is filed under the name uncultured bacterium. Its description in RNAcentral is "bacterial SSU rRNA". It matches the Rfam family "Bacterial small subunit ribosomal RNA", at positions 8 to 796 of the family's 1533-position model. The record is from RNAcentral.
AGAGUUUGAUCCUGGCUCAGGAUGAACGCUAGCGGCAGGCUUAAUACAUGCAAGUCGUGGGGCAGCAGGACUGUAGCAAUACAGUUGCUGGCGACCGGCAAACGGGUGCGGAACACGUACGCAAUCUACCCAAAACUGGUGAAUAGCCUUCCGAAAGGAAGAUUAAUACACCGUAACCUAAUUGUAGUGGCAUCACUAUAUUAGUAUAGCUCCGGCGGUUUUGGAUGAGCGUGCGGCUGAUUAGAUAGUUGGUGUGGGUAACGGCCCACCAAGUCUGCGAUCAGUAACUGGUGUGAGAGCACGACCAGUCACACGGGCACUGAGACACGGGCCCGACUCCUACGGGAGGCAGCAGUAAGGAAUAUUGGUCAAUGGACGCAAGUCUGAACCAGCCAUGCCGCGUGAAGGAUGAAGGUCCUCUGGAUUGUAAACUUCUUUUAUAGGGGACGAAACCUCUUUUUCUAAAGAGACUGACGGUACCCUAGGAAUAAGCACCGGCUAACUCCGUGCCAGCAGCCGCGGUAAUACGGAGGGUGCAAGCGUUAUCCGGAUUCACUGGGUUUAAAGGGUGCGUAGGAGGGCAGGUAAGUCAGUGGUGAAAUCUCUGGGCUCAACCCGGAAACUGCCGUUGAUACUAUCUGUCUUGAAUACUGUGGAGGUGAGCGGAAUAUGUCAUGUAGCGGUGAAAUGCUUAGAUAUGACAUAGAACACCAAUUGCGAAGGCAGCUCACUACACAUAUAUUGACUCUGAGGCACGAAAGCGUGGGGAUCAAACAGGAUUAGAUACCCUAGUAGUCC